AAAAUUUGAUGAACCUGGUGAUUGAUGUAUCACUCCAAUUGAAAUUAAACUUUCUGGAUCUCAUAGAAAGUUGUUUAUGAGGUUCAACACGAACAGGGCGAUGCCAUGUUCCUUGUUUAUCUAGUUUAGAACACUUACGGAUUUCCAAUGGAAAAUCGGUAUUGUUGUUGAUAACUGUUGUAAGUAUAGCGCCCAUGUUGUGAUGUGCAGUGAAGGUUUUUCUUCUUUUUCUGUUUCGAAAGAAAAGUUAAGGUUUUGCAAAAAAUCAAAACAAGUUAGUAAAUGAGAAAGAGAAUCAAGUGUUGAAAUAGAAAUGAAAUGAGAGAUGAGAUCACGAGACACAGAGUUGGGUCCUACGGUUUUAUUGUUAUAUGCAUUGUCGCUCUUAUUUUAUUCCACAUCAGAGACAGUAUAUAUUUUACAUUAUUAUAAUAGUAGCACGCACAGCCAAAAACAUACUACUACUACCUACAUAACACAACGGUUACGGUUAUAAUAUGGGUCAAGUUAACUUGUGUCCUAAGGGUAUAUGUUAAGAUAUUUAAAAAUAGAAAUAUGACAUUUAAUGAUACAAAUAAUUUAAUGUUUAGAUAAUUGAAUAUACCACAAGUUCAAUAAAUUUUUUUCACAUUUAUCUUCUUAAUAUGUGCCUUUAAAAAUAUAAGUUAACAUUCUCCUUAUAAUAUUACAUGCUCUGCUCCCAUGCUUCCAUGUGAUGAUGUCUUGGUCAAAGGAGUAUUUAAAAUUGAACCACUAAUGUUAAAUUUUGUCGUUUUGACCACCCUACUUUUAGAUUAUGCUUCCAUGUGGUUCUUCUUUUUU
Molecule: long non-coding RNA, 822 nt
Filed under: Trifolium pratense (red clover)
Lineage: Eukaryota; Viridiplantae; Streptophyta; Magnoliopsida; Fabales; Fabaceae
Description: long non-coding RNA (TPRA_LNC006835)
Source: RNAcentral